CGGCAGACGCCCCUGUGCCACUCGAGAGCCACACUCAGCUUUGGAGUGAAAAGGAGUGUUCUGAUUGGAGGAAGGUGCUGAGAUGUGUUGUUGCCACGGUCAAACUGCUGUCUUCUUUGGGACUACCUCUAAGAGGACAUGAUGAGUCAUCAUUGCCAAAUCAAAAAGCUGCAUGUGUUUCAAUGAUCACAGGAUCUUCUCCUUCCCAGAGGCUAGUGAA
Molecule: long non-coding RNA, 220 nt
Organism: Chelonia mydas (Green sea turtle)
Lineage: Eukaryota; Metazoa; Chordata; Testudines; Cheloniidae
Exons: 3
Source: RefSeq, a predicted model, not a curated record